Molecule: non-coding RNA, 680 nt
Organism: Perca fluviatilis (European perch)
Lineage: Eukaryota; Metazoa; Chordata; Actinopteri; Perciformes; Percidae
Source: the annotation of a RefSeq genome assembly
CUCAUCUGGACUCUCCUCUGCUGCUGCUUCACAGCCGUUAAGAGGCCAGUGUUGAUCAGUGGCUGUCCAGGCCUUUCAGAGACACUGGUACACCGGCAGCACAAUGAUGAUGUCACUGACUCUACUGCUGGCCACACUGGGGCUCCUUGUUCAGGUUUCAUCAGGACAAAUCAUCCUGACUCAGUCUCCUGGAUCUCAGUCUGUUGUUCCAGGACAGACUGUCUACAUCACAUGUAAAACCAGUUCAAAGUCUGGUAGCUACAUCCACUGGUACCUUCAGAAAUCUGGAGAAACUCCUAAACUCCUGAUUUAUGCAGCUACAAGCCGUCAGUCUGAUGUUUCUGAUCGUUUUAUUGGAUUUGGAUCUGAGCCUAAUUUCAUUCUGACCAUCAGAGGAUUUCAGUCUGAAGAUUCAGGACUUUACUACUGUCAGCAGAGUAACAGCCGGCCAAUCACACAGUGAUACAAUGAUGUACAAAAACCUCCCUCAGCUGGAGAGGAACAAAUCUGACUCAACAGCUGCACUGAAACUAAAACAACAAAAGCUUGACUAAACUAAAAUAUAUUUCAUAAUAAUUGACUUUCAACAUUGUAACACUAAAUAUACUUUAUCUAACUAGAAGUUGUACUGUAAAGUAUUUAAAUAAAACAGGGCUUAAAACAUUCUGCUGCACAUCAAA